GACGAACGCUGGCGGCGUGCUUAACACAUGCAAGUCGAACGGAAAGGCCCUUCUUUUGUGGGGUGCUCGAGUGGCGAACGGGUGAGUAUCACGUGAGUAACCUGCCCUUGACUUUGGGAUAACUUCAGGAAACUUGGGCUAAUACCGGAUAGGAGCUCCUGCUGCAUGGUGGGGGGUGGAAAGUUUCGGCGGUUGGGGCUGGACUCGCGGCUUAUCAGCUUGUGGGUGGGGUAGUGGCUUACCAAGGCUUUGACGGGUAGUCGGCCUGAGAGGGUGACCGGCCACAUUGGGCCUGAGAUAGGGACCAGACUCCUACUGGAGGCAGCAGUGGAGAAUCUUGCACAAUGGGCGGAAGCCUGAUGCAGAGACGCCGCGUGCGGGAUGACGGCCUUCGCGUUGUAAACCGCUUUCGCCUGUGACGAAGCGUGAGUGACGGUAAUGUGUAAAGAAGCACCGGCUAACUACGUG
This 468-nucleotide ribosomal RNA is filed under the name uncultured bacterium. Its description in RNAcentral is "partial 16S ribosomal RNA". It matches the Rfam family "Bacterial small subunit ribosomal RNA", at positions 28 to 507 of the family's 1533-position model. The record is from RNAcentral.